This 477-nucleotide ribosomal RNA is filed under the name uncultured bacterium. Its description in RNAcentral is "partial 16S ribosomal RNA". It matches the Rfam family "Bacterial small subunit ribosomal RNA", at positions 28 to 522 of the family's 1533-position model. The record is from RNAcentral.
GACGAACGCUGGCGGCGUGCUUAACACAUGCAAGUCGAACGGUAAGGCCCUUCGGGGUACACGAGUGGCGAACGGGUGAGUAACACGUGGGUGAUCUGCCCUGCACUUCGGGAUAAGCCUGGGAAACUGGGUCUAAUACCGGAUAGGACCACUGCCUGCAUGGGUGGUGGUGGAAAGCUUUUGCGGUGUGGGAUGGGCCCGCGGCCUAUCAGCUUGUUGGUGGGGUGAUGGCCUACCAAGGCGACGACGGGUAGCCGGCCUGAGAGGGUGACCGGCCACACUGGGACUGAGAUACGGCCCAGACUCCUACGGGAGGCAGCAGUGGGGAAUAUUGCACAAUGGGCGCAAGCCUGAUGCAGCGACGCCGCGUGAGGGAUGACGGCCUUCGGGUUGUAAACCUCUUUCAGCACCGACGAAGCGCAAGUGACGGUAGGUGCAGAAGAAGGACCGGUCAACUACGUGCCAGCCGCCGCAGUA